This is a non-coding RNA of Mycena albidolilacea, 95 nucleotides long. The record is from the annotation of a GenBank genome assembly. Lineage: Eukaryota; Fungi; Basidiomycota; Agaricomycetes; Agaricales; Mycenaceae.
GGUUCGGUGGUGGAUGGUCCACGUCUGUCUCUGAUGUGUACAAUUGGUGCAAUGACUCUGAGCAGAAGAUGCCUGUUCGAACCAGAUCCGAACCA